UACGGGGGGAGCAAGCGUUGUUCGGAUUUACUGGGCGUAAAGGGCGCGUAGGCGGCUCGGUAAGUCGGGGGUGAAAUCCUGCGGCUUAACCGCAGGGCUGCCUUCUAAACUGUCGAGCUUGAGCACGGUAGAGGCAGAUGGAAUUCCCGGUGUAGCGGUGGAAUGCGUAGAGAUCGGGAAGAACAUCAGUGGCGAAGGCGGUCUGCUGGGCCGUUGCUGACGCUGAGGCGCGACAGCGUGGGGAGCAAACAGG
This 253-nucleotide ribosomal RNA is filed under the name uncultured bacterium. Its description in RNAcentral is "partial 16S ribosomal RNA". It matches the Rfam family "Bacterial small subunit ribosomal RNA", at positions 524 to 776 of the family's 1533-position model. The record is from RNAcentral.